This is a long non-coding RNA of Bactrocera neohumeralis, 1420 nucleotides long. RefSeq lists it as uncharacterized. Lineage: Eukaryota; Metazoa; Arthropoda; Insecta; Diptera; Tephritidae. The record is from RefSeq and is a predicted model, not a curated record. The transcript is spliced from 4 exons.
AUAGUGCCUGUUUUAAAAAUAGAAAAGGAAUUAAUUGUGAAGCAAAAUUCAAAUUGUGUGCUGGAAUUUAAAAUAUAUUACGCUCAUAAGACUUAAGGGGAUAUACUAGUGUAGAGGCAGAUUAAACUUUGAAAAUGUUAAAAAAUAAUAUUUCUAGACACAGGAGAUAAAUAAAAAGAAAAUAAAAAUAAAAAUAAAAAGUUUAAUAUUCAAAACUCCAACGAAACUCACCUGAAGAGCACUAAACUGCAACUUCUCCUCCUCGGGCGUUUGUCCAAUUUGCGAGGUGACACCCAGCGGCUUGGCAAAUGAACCGCACCAAAUGGCAAACAGAUUGAAAAGACUGCGUUUUAAGCCAGUGGUCAGCAGUGUGCCGCAUGAAUCCACUGUAACGGUAAAUUAAUACAUAAAAUAAACAAAGUAUUAGCAUGAAUUGUAGCAAGGAAAGCUUACGUGAGAAAUUCUUAAUCAUUUUCCGUAUGAAAUUGCAAAAGUGCGCUUUCACUUCGCGAAUGCUCGUGUUGUCCUUAUCCGUUUCGGCUAGAAGAUAUUGAAUAGCGCCCUCAAUAUACUCGACGAAGGUUGGGUGUAGAGACAUUGUAUCGCGUUCCAGUACACAUGGACUGCAAAAAGAACCAACAAGCAGUGCUCUGACCGAAAUAGUGAGUUAAAUAUAAUAUUAUUUACAUAUAUAGUAUACUUAGGAGAAUAAAAUAAAAAAAUUAAUUUAAAAAAAAAUAUUUUAAAAAAAUUAAAAAAAAUUUAUUUUCAAAAAUGAUGAAUUUUCAAUUUUUGAACGUACGAAUUUCAAACUAUAAUUUAUCACUAAAGCAAUUUCUCAAGUUUUUCAAGCGUCACAUCUGCGUGGCAAUUUAUUAUACUUUUCCCGCCCAUUACACACACACCCACUUACCUAACACCAAAUGUGCCGUUUUCCGCAAUUUUCUCCAAAACACGUACAAGCUGUAAUCGUAAAGCAUCGCGGCGACGCCGACGGCGCAUGUUCUCCUGCUUCCUAUCGACAGCUUCGCGUAUAUACACAACCAGCUCUUCCAUCAAAUCUCUGCGAAAAUUAAAAAAUAAAUGUUAAGCCUGCUCACAGACAUGGAAGUGCACACAAAUACAGUUAUAUGUUAUUGUUAUAAGUAUAGAGAGGCAUUGUAAAGUGGGCGAGCAAUUGGCACGUAGUGUACUUUAUGCGCGCCAACACGGAUAUACAAACACUUGAGUGCCAUUUGAGUGAAAAAAAUGCGAUUUCGUGGGAUAUUGCGCGACGGCGUGUCUUUGACGUUAGAAGUCGAAAUAGUUUUAAUAUGGAAACAUAACAGAAAAGCAGCCGUGGGAGAAAGCGCCUCGUGAUUAAUCAUGCCAAGCGCAUUUACGGCCGCAUCACGCACUUCCACCACCUCACAGCGUAGCA